This 440-nucleotide ribosomal RNA is filed under the name uncultured bacterium. RNAcentral describes it as "partial 16S ribosomal RNA". It matches the Rfam family "Bacterial small subunit ribosomal RNA", at positions 338 to 795 of the family's 1533-position model. The record is from RNAcentral.
CCUACGGGUGGCAGCAGUGGGGAAUAUUGCACAAUGGGGGAAACCCUGAUGCAGCGACGCCGCGUGAGUGAAGACGUAAUUCGUUAUGUAAAGCUCUAUCAGCAGGGAAGAAAAUGACGGUACCUGAGUAAGAAGCCCCGUCUAACUACGUACCAGCAACCGCGGCAAUACGUAGGGGGCAAGCGUUAUCCGGAUUUACCGGGCGUAAAGGGAGCGUAGACGGGAGUGCAAGUCUGGAGUGAAAGGCGGGGGUUCAACCCCCGGAGUGCUCUGGAAACUGUACGGCUUGAGUGCAGGAGAGGUAUGUGGAAUUCGUGGUGUAGCGGUGAAAUGCGUAGAUAUUAGGAAGAACACCAGUGGCGAAGGCGGCUUACUGGACUGUAACUGACGUUGAGGCUCGAAAGCGUGGGGAGCAAACAGGAUUAGAUACCCGGGUAGUC